CGAGUGUAAGCCAAUUCCAUAUACUCAUUUCUUCUAUACAUAUACUUGUAACUAUAUCCAUUCUUGCAAAACAACGAGAUGCGCUUCUCUCCCUGUCGAGGCCCUCGUGCAAAAUAAGGAUUGGAUCGCAUCUUGGGUGUUACACGUGUAGUGCAAGUCCUCAAAUUAGGGUGAAUGUAUUGCCCCACGGACUUUAUUUGGAACCUACCAUGUAUAAGACUUCCCAAAACCACCAAAUAUUAUUUGUAAAUAUUAC
RNAcentral lists this long non-coding RNA (256 nucleotides) under Hordeum vulgare. RNAcentral describes it as "long non-coding RNA (HVUL_LNC001075)". Lineage: Eukaryota; Viridiplantae; Streptophyta; Magnoliopsida; Poales; Poaceae. The record is from RNAcentral.